Molecule: non-coding RNA, 27 nt
Filed under: Homo sapiens (human)
Lineage: Eukaryota; Metazoa; Chordata; Mammalia; Primates; Hominidae
Source: RNAcentral
UGUGCUCUAGAUAUGUAAUGCAAAGUC